RNAcentral lists this unclassified non-coding RNA (1602 nucleotides) under Hevea brasiliensis (rubber tree). Lineage: Eukaryota; Viridiplantae; Streptophyta; Magnoliopsida; Malpighiales; Euphorbiaceae. The record is from RNAcentral.
UUUUAAACAAACAGAACCUAGAUCCCACACCACGUUUUGGGUAUUUUAUUUUAUCCAGGUUCCUUUGCUGGAAAUAUCCAAGAUGCUACUGCACAUUACGUCUGUUUGCCCUACAGUGAAAUAUCAAUGGUUAUGAAACGUUAAGAUAUAUUAUCCAUGGCCAAAUUUAUAUCUCAUUAAAUGAUUAUAAAACAAAGAAUAUCAGUGGCAGUAAGGAAUUUAUUCCAUAAACUUGAGCAAGGUUGCACAACUGAUGAAACACCAACAAAGUAUGACGAGUCUGUUACAUACGUCUCCGGAUAAACAGUCCCAAAUUACUUCCCAGUUCCCACCAACAGGUUGUCAGGGACGCUGGAAGAUCCAUCUCUUAGCAAAUUUUGAAAGCUGCAUGUCAAAAACUUUAAUCAAUGUAAUGGCCGGAACAAAAAUCAAGGUAAAAACUGCAAACCCAAACAGAAAUAAAGGCUCAAGCAAGUAAAAGCUAUAAAUUAGAUGCUAGGAUAAGCUUUUCAAUCAAUAUAAACAGCUAAGCUUCCAGGAAAAAGCCCAGAAACGGGUGGUUACGUCCAGCAAGACAUCCAUUGUGACUAGCAUCAAAUAUAAUCAUUUUACCCAUCUGCCCAUCCCCAUAGCAGUGCAUGUGCAUGUCUUUCAGCUGCACAUGUUCUAAUAAGUUUAAACGAUUUCCAUUAUGUUAAAGAAAAAACUACACUUCUAGAAUAGGUAAUGCCUUCACCUCUGCUGUUCCUAAAAUUCAAGAACUUCAUUGACAAUUAUAUGACUGCAAGCAACUAAUCCACUACCAACUACAACUGAAGAAUGCACACACAUAUAACACGGUUCAAGAAUAUUCCAAUGAAUGGAUAAUUGCAAAAUAAUGAUUCAAAUUUCAAGAUAAUUCAUUUCAAUGUACAUGCAUGCACAAAUGAAUAGAAUUAUUUUUUUUUCUUUUCCCAUAUUCCUUUUCAUCUUGAUUUCCCUAUCAAAAUGUAAUCCUGGGUUCAAGUUACAUGAAGCUUUUUGAUCCCAUUAAGAACAAAUUGGCCUUUGAUUUAAACUCAUGGGUACUCAUGGGCAUGAAUUAUUUAAACUUUGGGAACUAAAAGCAGGGGUAAGGCUGCAUUUAUCAAACCAAAGCCCACAAGUUGGGGAUGCUUCGUACACUUAGUCACCCUUUACUUUUUUUUAGGAACUGAAGCAACUUUUUCACAUGGUAGGAAAUAAACCAAUUAUCAUAGCAAGAUGGGGACCCGUUUCACAUGGUAGGAAAUAAGCUCAAUACUAGCAACAAUCAUAGAUAUUGAGGUCCUAGAAAUCACAAAGAUAGUUUGUAUAACCAAGAUGUGCACCUGUUUCACAAUACCAGGAAUAGGGAAGGAAAAGUGCUGAGGCAGCUAAAGUGCUAGUUAUAAUGUUCUCACACUGAAACACUGUAUAUAUGACCAGUGUUAUUAAGGCGAAAGGCUACAGGGUAUCCUAUGGCCUUUUGCAAGAGGCGAGGCAAGGCAAGACGAGGGCUUUUUUGAAGCGAGAUGCCAUAGCCUAACUUGCUUAAAUUAUAUAUAUAUAUACACAUAAUUUUAACAUAAAAAUAUCAUACUU